Molecule: ribosomal RNA, 202 nt
Filed under: uncultured prokaryote
Description: partial 16S ribosomal RNA
Rfam family: Bacterial small subunit ribosomal RNA
Source: RNAcentral
GACGUAGGAUGCGAGCGUUGUCCGGAUUUAUUGGGCGUAAAGAGUUCGUAGGUGGUUCGUUAAGUCUGAUGUUAAAGACUGGGGCUCAACCCUGGGAGUGCAUUGGAUACUGGCGGACUUGAGUGUAGUAGAGGCAAGCGGAAUUCCCAGUGUAGCGGUGAAAUGCGUAGAUAUUGGGAAGAACACCGGUGGCGCAGGCGGC